Molecule: ribosomal RNA, 379 nt
Filed under: uncultured cyanobacterium
Lineage: Bacteria; Bacillati; Cyanobacteriota
Description: bacterial SSU rRNA
Rfam family: Bacterial small subunit ribosomal RNA
Source: RNAcentral
CGAAAGCCUGACGGAGCAAGACCGCGUGAGGGAGGAAGGCUCUUGGGUUGUAAACCUCUUUUCUCAGGGAAGAAGCUCUGACGGUACCUGAGGAAUCAGCCUCGGCUAACUCCGUGCCAGCAGCCGCGGUAAUACGGAGGAGGCAAGCGUUAUCCGGAAUUAUUGGGCGUAAAGCGUCCGCAGGUGGCGAUUCAAGUCUGCUGUCAAAGCACGGGGCUUAACUCCGUAAAGGCAGUGGAAACUGAAUAGCUAGAGUGCCGUAGGGGUAGAGGGAAUUCCCGGUGUAGCGGUGAAAUGCGUAGAUAUUGGGAAGAACACCAGUGGCGAAGGCGCUCUGCUGGACCAAAACUGACGCUGAUGGACGAAAGCUAGGGGAGCG